RNAcentral lists this ribosomal RNA (477 nucleotides) under uncultured beta proteobacterium. RNAcentral's name for it is "bacterial SSU rRNA". It matches the Rfam family "Bacterial small subunit ribosomal RNA", at positions 97 to 570 of the family's 1533-position model. Lineage: Bacteria; Pseudomonadati; Pseudomonadota; Betaproteobacteria. The record is from RNAcentral.
GGCGAACGGGUGAGUAAUAUAUCGGAACGUGCCCAGUAAUGGGGAAUAACUAAUUGAAAGAUUAGCUAAUACCGCAUACGACCUACGGGUGAAAGCAGGGGAUCUUCGGACCUUGCGUUAUUGGAGUGGCCGAUAUCUGAUUAGCUAGUUGGUGGGGUAAAAGCCUACCAAGGCGACGAUCAGUAGCUGGUCUGAGAGGACGAUCAGCCACACUGGAACUGAGACACGGUCCAGACUCCUACGGGAGGCAGCAGUGGGGAAUUUUGGACAAUGGGGGAAACCCUGAUCCAGCCAUCCCGCGUGAGUGAAGAAGGCCUUCGGGUUGUAAAGCUCUUUCGGAAGUGAAGAAAACUUAUUUCGUAAUAUGUUAUAAGAAUGACGGUAACUUUAGAAGAAGCACCGGCUAACUACGUGCCAGCAGCCGCGGUAAUACGUAGGGUGCGAGCGUUAAUCGGAAUUACUGGGCGUAAAGCGUGC